CUAAACUUCAAAAGGAGACUGAUGAAGUACAAACUUGUGCUAAGUUUCUAGUAAAGGGGUAGAGGAAGCAGAAUCUGAUUUGAGCUCAGUAUCAUAGAUCUUUGUUCAUGAGGGGAAUGGAAGGAAGCGGGGCUGGGGAAGUUAUUGUUAAGAAAGCAAUCAACACUCGAAAGAAAGGUCUUGUGGCUUCACUAGGACCCAUUAGAAACAGUGCUUAGAGUUAUGUUAGGAACUAAAAUCUGAUUACCAUUAUCAGCAUGGGAUGAUAGGCAGACUCAA
RNAcentral lists this long non-coding RNA (279 nucleotides) under Bos taurus (domestic cattle). RNAcentral's name for it is "long non-coding RNA NONBTAT022337". Lineage: Eukaryota; Metazoa; Chordata; Mammalia; Artiodactyla; Bovidae. The record is from RNAcentral.